CAGGGCGGGACAAACUUGGGAGUGAGGCUGGCGAGUGUGGGGCACGGGGGGCCACCAGAGGACAGAGCUCCUAGGGAGAGGAGCUGAACUAGGGGGUCCUCGAGGACAUUUCCAUCCCCGAGCCUCAGUUUCCACAUCUGCACAGUGGGCUCGUGUCUGCAGAGCUGGAGGGACAGCCGGGGGUCUCCGGGAGGGAACUGUGGCUUUCUGGCCCCUCUCCCGCAACAACGCGCCCCCACAGCUUACAUGCAAGUCCCCAGGGUUGCAGGCAGGAGUCCCCCAAUCCCUGGGGCACGCAGACAUGUGGGUGCACGGGUGCCCUGGAGAACCCUGCACACCACCGGCAGCCCCGUGGCUCCCUGUGACCAGGUGUCCGGCAGCCGCAGCGUGGCAGGUGGUGGGGCCGCUCGGCGGGUAGGCGCCGAAGCGGCUGCUGGCGGAGGCUCCUCGAGUUUCAUGGAGAGAAGCAGAUGGCCUUGGGGGUAGCGGGAGGUGCACAGGCCUCGGGUAACCCCAGAUUGAGGGGGUAAACUGAGGCCAGGUAGAUGGGGUUCGUUGUGAAGUGGCCCGGACUCCCCGCAAUGAAUAUUUGGGGUUCCGUUGUGUGUUAUUAUCAAAAUAAGUAAAAUUGAGCAGGAUCUAAUGUGGGCUUUGUGAUCCCUGACUUUGGGCAAAUGACUUUACCUUUCUAUGCCUCAGUUUCUGUCUGUAUAAGGGGCCUAUUAAGAGAACUUACCAGGCUGGGCGCGGUGGGUCACGCCUGUAAUCCCAGCACUUGAGAGGAGGCUGAGGAGGGUGGAUCACUUGAGGCCAAGAGUUCGAAACCAGCCUAGGCAACAUGGUGAAAACCGGUCUCUACUAAAAAUACAAAAAUAAGCUGGGUGUGGUGGUGCAUACCUGCAAUCCCAGCUACUCAGGAGGCUGAGGCAGGAGAAUUGCUUGAACCCAGGAAGCCGAGGUUGUAGUGAGCAGAGAUCGUACCACUGUACUCCAUCCUGGGCGACAGAGCGAGACUCUAUGUCUCCAAAAAAAGAAAAAAAGCACUCAUCCCUUGGGGGUGAUGUGAAGAUUAAAUGAGUUAAGUACUUAAGACAGUGCCUGGCACCUAGCAAGUGCUUUGUGUUUGCUAGGUGGUUUUUUGUUGUUGUUACUUUAUAUUUUUGAGACAGGGUCUCACUUGGUCGCCCAGACUGGAGUACAGUGGCCCAACCAUAGCUCAUUGCAUUCUUGAACUCCUGGGCUCGAGCGAUCCUCCUGCUUCAGCCUGGAAAGUAGCUAGGACUAACAGGCAUGUGCCACCACACCUGGUUAAUUUUUUAUUUUCUGUAGAAAUUGUGGGAGGGUGUCUCACUAUGUUGCCCAGGCUGGUCUCAAACUCAUGAGCUCAAGCAAUCCCCUUGCUUUGGCCUCCCAAAGUGUUUUA
Molecule: long non-coding RNA, 1423 nt
Filed under: Macaca fascicularis (crab-eating macaque)
Lineage: Eukaryota; Metazoa; Chordata; Mammalia; Primates; Cercopithecidae
Description: lncRNA (ENSMFAG00000064274.1)
Source: RNAcentral